RNAcentral lists this transfer RNA (81 nucleotides) under Sphingomonas paucimobilis. Its description in RNAcentral is "tRNA-Thr(ggt)". The record is from RNAcentral. Lineage: Bacteria; Pseudomonadati; Pseudomonadota; Alphaproteobacteria; Sphingomonadales; Sphingomonadaceae.
GGCGUUGAUGGCUUCGGUUGCGUGGGCGGUGCCGCUGGUGCCGGCACUGGCUCAGUCGGCUUCGUCUGCCGCAUCGCCUCC